GAUGAACGCUGGCGGCGUGCCUAAUACAUGCAAGUCGAGCGAACAGACGCGGAGCUUGCUCCUCUGACGUUAGCGGCGGACGGGUGAGUAACACGUGGAUAACCUACCUAUAAGACUGGGAUAACUUCGGGAAACCGGAGCUAAUACCGGAUAAUAUAUUGAACCGCAUGGUUCAAUAGUGAAAGACGGUUUUGCUGUCACUUAUAGAUGGAUCCGCGCCGCAUUAGCUAGUUGGUAAGGUAACGGCUUACCAAGGCGACGAUGCGUAGCCGACCUGAGAGGGUGAUCGGCCACCCUGGAACUGAGACACGGUCCAGACUCCUGCGGGAGGCAGCAGUCGGGAAUCUUCCGCAAUGGUCGAAAGCCUGACGGAGCAACGCCGCGUGAGUGAUGAAGGUCUUCGGAUCGUAAAACUCUGUUAUUAGGGAAGAACAAAUGUGUAAGUAACUAUGCACGUCUUGACGGUACCUAAUCAGAAAGCCACGGCUAACUACGUG
RNAcentral lists this ribosomal RNA (497 nucleotides) under uncultured bacterium. RNAcentral's name for it is "partial 16S ribosomal RNA". It matches the Rfam family "Bacterial small subunit ribosomal RNA", at positions 28 to 507 of the family's 1533-position model. The record is from RNAcentral.